UAAUACGUAGGGGGCAAGCGUUGUCCGGAUUUAUUGGGCGUAAAGCGCGUGUAGGCGGCCAGAUAAGUCCGCUGUGAAAACUCGAAGCUCAACUUCGAGCUGUCGGUGGAAACUAUUUGGCUAGAGUCCGGAAGAGGAGAGUGGAAUUCCUGGUGUAGCGGUGAAAUGCGCAGAUAUCAGGAAGAACACCCGUGGCGAAGGCGGCUCUCUGGUACGGAACUGACGCUGAGACGCGAAAGCGUGGGGAGCGAACAGGAUUAGAUACCCUGGUAGUCCACGCCGUAAACGAUGGGUGCUAGGUGUGGGGGGUGUCAACUCCCUCCGUGCCGAAGCUAACGCAUUAAGCACCCCGCCUGGGGAGUACGGCCGCAAGGCUA
Molecule: ribosomal RNA, 377 nt
Filed under: uncultured bacterium
Lineage: Bacteria
Description: bacterial SSU rRNA
Rfam family: Bacterial small subunit ribosomal RNA
Source: RNAcentral